This 182-nucleotide unclassified non-coding RNA is filed under the name soil metagenome. RNAcentral's name for it is "partial internal transcribed spacer 1". The record is from RNAcentral.
AAGAAUUGCAGAAAGGCUCACCAUUUAAACCUUACUGGAACUUAUUCCAAGUUGCCUCGGCGGGCGGCUUCCCCUCACGGGACCGCAGACCCCGCCUUGCAGGAGGUAAGGGCAGACCCGCCGGAGGCUACGAAACUCUGUAUUAUUAGUGGCUAUCUGUGAGUAUAAACUUAAAUAAGUUA